CGAGCGCCAGCCCCAGCCCGGGAGUCACGCCGCUGGCGCUUGACGCACGCGGAGACCCGGGGGCCGUGCCCCAGCUUUGUGGAACCUGAGGGCGGCUCGGGUCAGGUCGGUCCCCGCGGGAGGACAGGCGCGACCCGUCCCUCAGGACCGACGGCGUGUGGCUGCGGGGGCAUGGGGUGCCCCUCUCGGCCCGGUCGCUCCAGCGAGGGGACGCUGAGCCCCAGCUUUUAAAGGCUUCAUAUUCCUGACAAAUGGAGAUCCACUGACAUGAAGAAAUUCUCAAGCAACUAGGCAACUGGGAUUGUGCAGGGGCUUGCCCCUGAUCCUAUAGUAAAAGGUCCAGCCCUCACUAGCUGAAGACAGCAUGAAAAGCAGGAACUUGGUGGUGGUAUGACGUUUCAAUGAACCAAAGAGGCUCUGAUUACCGUCUGUAGACACCCACGGCACAAUUAUUAAGUUCAUUAGACAGAGAGGAAUCUGGAUUCAGCUGUGACAGGACAGCAAAUUAAAUAUACAUGGACAAAAGGAGGAGGCAUUCAAGCUUUUUAUAGUCUUCAACAACAACCAGUCCCUACAUUUAAGAAGGUUAAUAACUGAGACAGCCUUCCUGGUGGAUCCAUCAUUUGGCCCAGCUUGUAGAAAGAUUCCCAACUAGCUCUAAUUAGUUCCAUCUUAUUUGGAGGCAGAGGUAUUCCUCAUCAUACCCAUAUCCUCAUAUAAAUUGUCCAGUGCCCUAGGUACCAGGGAGAAAGAAGACGAAGAAGGACAUAUACCAGAAGCACAUUAAUAGGCUGCUGAAAAACUCUGCCACACUUUCAGAUGACAGGUCACCUACAGAUAAAUGAUUCAAGGAUCAACCAAGUUCUGAAGUUUUUUUUUGUUUUUUUUUUUUGGGAUAGAGUCUCACUGUGUCACCCAGGCUGGAGUGCAGUGGCGUGAUCUCAGCUCACUGCAACCUCUGCCUCCCGAGUUCAAGUGAUUCUCCUGCCUCAGCCUCCCAAGUAGCUGGGAUUAUAGGUGCCUGCCACCAGGCCUGGCUAAUUAUUUUUUGUAUUUUUAGUAGAAACAUAGUUUCACUAUGUUGGCCAGGCUGGUCUUGAACUCCUGACCUUGUGAUCCACCCGCCUCAGCCUCCCAAAGUGCUGGGAUACAGGUGUGAGCCACCAUGCCCGGCCAGUUCUUAAUACUGCCAGGAGUGCUUUAGAAGGCUGGGAAUAUGGGGCGAAAGAUUAGACACCCAAGCUGUUGAAAACCACACAGAGUUUCAGUAAAUAUAUGCACAAUUUGAAAAAUAUAUUUGCAAAAAUCUAGGUGUCUCCGGUCUAGUCCUUCCUAUUAAUCAAAUAAAUUACCGAGCUUCAUGGCCCAGUCUAUGAUCCUAGUUCUGACCGCUGCUGCCCGUAAAGGCCUCAAUGAAUUCCUCUCUGAGCUUCCAGACUUCCUUGGCUGGUGACUUGUUCCUCUUGGGACAGCUUUUGCUUGAGCUGAGCAGCCUGGCCCCCAGCUGUGCAGGGCCCUCUCUCCGGUGAGAGGAAACGCUUUCAGCUUAGUCUGUUAACACAAACAUUCAAAAGCAAACAUUCAAAAGCCACAGAUCAUGUUCGCAUAAAUAAAAUAGGAUUGAGAAAAGCUUUGCCCCAAGAAACCAAAGGGGUGUUUAAAAAACAGCUCUUGCUUUCCAAGUAGGCAGGCAGCAAAGCCACAGCAAUUCCAAAGGUUUGUGUGCUUGGUAGAGCUGGGUGGCUGCAGCCGCAGGCCUUUGAAGAGGAAAUGCCAUCCCUGGUACAGGCAGGCGGCCAACCCAUGAGUCCUGAAAGUACCAGAGAGAAGCAGAAAGCAGGGGAGCACAGUUAGGAAGUGAAAAGGGAGAGGAAGGCACCAAGGAGAUAAAUGAGGAGACUCUUCUUAUCUAGAGUUCCCACCCCAGACCUAAGAGCUACAGGACAGAGGAACUCACUGUGCCUGACAGAGCUGGGGCCUGAAAUAGAAAAAGAUGAUUCUAAAAUCUGAUGGAACCACCAAGGAGCUUGAGUGGCCAAAGCAAAAAGAACAAGCUGAAGGCAUCACACCACCCAACUUCAAAAUAUAUUACAAAGCUAUAGUAAUCAAAACAGCAUUGUUCUCCAUAAAAAGACACAUAGACCAAAGGAACAGAUUAGAUCCCAGAAAUAAACCCAUGCAACUAUCUUUGACAAGGCUACCAAGACAUAAUGAGGAAAAAAUAAUCUCUUCAAUAAAUGAUGCUGGGAAAACUGUAUACCCACAUGCAGAAUGAAAUUGGUCCUUGAUGUUUUAUGUGACUGAAGCAGUUUGAAAAGGAGAGUGAAUGAGAGAGUAAGCAAGCUGUAAAAUUAGGUUGGGACCAAGUCAGGGGUUACCAAAUAUCAGGCUGAGCUUUGGUACUUUAUUUGGCAAGAAAAUAAAAC
This 2426-nucleotide long non-coding RNA is filed under the name Homo sapiens (human). Its description in RNAcentral is "HSALNT0009862". The record is from RNAcentral. Lineage: Eukaryota; Metazoa; Chordata; Mammalia; Primates; Hominidae.